AGGACGAACGCUGGCGGCGUGCUUAACACAUGCAAGUCGAGGGCGGUAGCAAUACCGACCGGCGAACGGGUGCGUAACACGUGAGCAACCUGCCAAGGUGAGGGGGAUAGCCAGCCCAACGGCCGGGUAAUACCGCAUACGCUCUAUCCACGGCAUUGUGGACUGAGGAAACCUCCGGGGCACUUUGAGGGGCUCGCGGCCUAUCAGCUAGUUGGCGGGGUAAUGGCCCACAAGGCAUCGACGGGUAGCUGGUCUGAGAGGAUGGCCAGCCACAUUGGGACUGAGAAACGGCCCAGACUCCUACGGGAGGCAGCAGUGGGGAAUCUUGCGCAAGUGGACCGAAAGGCUGACGCAGCGACGCCGCGUGUGGGAGG
Molecule: ribosomal RNA, 374 nt
Filed under: uncultured soil bacterium
Lineage: Bacteria
Description: bacterial SSU rRNA
Rfam family: Bacterial small subunit ribosomal RNA
Source: RNAcentral